RNAcentral lists this ribosomal RNA (403 nucleotides) under uncultured bacterium. RNAcentral describes it as "partial 16S ribosomal RNA". It matches the Rfam family "Bacterial small subunit ribosomal RNA", at positions 30 to 526 of the family's 1533-position model. The record is from RNAcentral.
AUUGAACGCUGGCGGCAUGCCUAAUACAUGCAAGUCGGGCGAGCGGCGGUCGGGUGCGUAAUGUAUGGGGACUGCCUGCUGGCGGGGGAUAACUACUGGAAACGGUAGCUAAUACCGCAUACUAUCAGAUCACCCUUAUGGGAUUAGCUAGUAGGUGGGGUAAAGGCUCACCUAGGCGACGAUCUCUAGCUGGUCGGAGAGGAUGAUCGGCCACACUGUGACUUAGACACGGCCCAGACUCCUACGGGGGCGGCAGUGGGGAAUAUUGGGCAAGGGGGGCAACCCGAACACAGCAAGGCCACGUGGAUGAAGAAGGCCUUCGGGUUGUAAAGUUCUUUCGGUAGCGAGGCGUUAACUACAGAAGAAGCACCGGCUAACUCCGUGCCAGCAGCCGCGGUAAUAC